GUGGAUGUAGCUCAGUAGGUAGAGCGCCAGACUGUGGCUCUGGGUGUCGCGGGUUCGAGCCCCGUCAUCCACC
Molecule: transfer RNA, 73 nt
Filed under: Treponema sp.
Lineage: Bacteria; Pseudomonadati; Spirochaetota; Spirochaetia; Treponematales; Treponemataceae
Also listed under: 4 other names
Description: tRNA-His
Rfam family: tRNA
About the family: Transfer RNA (tRNA) molecules are approximately 80 nucleotides in length. Their secondary structure includes four short double-helical elements and three loops (D, anti-codon, and T loops).
Source: RNAcentral